Molecule: long non-coding RNA, 505 nt
Filed under: Homo sapiens (human)
Lineage: Eukaryota; Metazoa; Chordata; Mammalia; Primates; Hominidae
Description: non-protein coding lnc-POM121L12-7:1
Source: RNAcentral
UCAUUUAUUUUCAGCAUGGAUUACUCCAUUAAGAAAUGAUAAUAAGAAGCAUAAUAUUCAUAUCCUUGGCUUGUGACAAUGGUCUAGGAGGUGGCUUGAUCUGGAACUGACACAGGAACUCCUGCUCAUAUUUCAUUGGCUAGAAUGCAUUACAUUCCUAUCAAGCUCCAGUGGGUAGGAAACAACACAUGCUGUCAUCCUUCAUGACCACCACAGAACGCAAAUCUAGGAUCUUGGAUCCUGAGUGAAUAGAGUAUUUCAUGAAGGAAAUAAAUGGUCCCUGUAAAUAAUAGAAGAACACGUAAAAGAUUCCAUGUCAAGCCAAAGACCAUGGUUACACUCCAGACCACCACAUCUGAGCAGUGUUUCCUCAUUGAUAAAAGGGAAAUCAGUGAGCCUUAGAUACAGAAGCUAACAAGCAAUCAAGCACAUAAUUAGUUUAAGUGUAGGGUGCAGUGCUUGACAGAACAAGUUUUCAAUGAAUAUAUGAAGUAUUAAUAUUAUC